Long non-coding RNA from Xiphophorus hellerii (green swordtail), 1546 nucleotides. RefSeq lists it as uncharacterized. NCBI's taxonomy places the organism in Eukaryota, Metazoa, Chordata, Actinopteri, Cyprinodontiformes, Poeciliidae. The record is from RefSeq and is a predicted model, not a curated record. The transcript has 3 exons.
CUUGCCCUUCUCAACGUCUGACACGUUGUUGAUGUGAGUUAGUUUUUAACCAGUUUGGAUGUUUUUAAGCACUCAACUAAUUCAGACAGCGUAAAGAACGAAGAGUUUUUUUAAGGAGCAGUAUGGUUGAAUGGCAUCUGCAUGAAAGUCAUCGGAGAUUAAUUUGCUUCUUAUCCUUGAUGCAAUGCCAUUAAGAAUUCUUACUGGAUGCAAAGAACUGAAUACCCUCGCUUUUCCUGACCUGAACUGUUCACCUGACCACUGAGCUCUGGAUUAUGGACAAAGCCGCCACUCUCUCUUCCCCCAUGGUGAGACCUGAUCACUGGAUUAGUGCGAGUGUGAACCUUUUUACCCCGCUGCCAGUUUCCCCGCCCCUCUGUGACGUCAUCGCCAUGGUUUCCACCACAUAUAGGGGAAUCCUCUAUACCAAAUGUGUCAAACGGUACAAAAAGAUAGAAGUGGAUCUACUGUGUACUGAAGUGUACUGUUGUGCCAUGCUAACAGCUCAAUUUCUCUAUUUCACAGUAAUAUGUCCUAGGUGACAUCAUCAGCUGUCAGAAUAUCCUUAUAAUCCAUGUCAUGCUUUUUUUCACUCCUCUUUAAAUGUCGGUCUGGCUGUAUGGCAAGAAAUCCAGGAGGGGGGAUGUUGGAGUUGGGGAUAUGAUUCUUGCCCAAUAUGAUCACUGGAAGACACGGAAGCCUCAGUUUCAACUCCUCUGAGUUUUGGGGUUGUGGUUCAUGUAUUAGUUGAGUUUCCGAGAUGCUAAUCAGCUCCUCCCAGUUGGACAAACAACACCUUGUUGCCACCUUGCAACUGACCAAAAGAAAAGAAAAAAAAAAGCAACCAAAGAUUCCUGCUGCACCGCAUCCAAACCAGAAAGAAAAAUUGUUGCAGCACAUGUUUGGACAAUUCUUUAGAAAUCCAAAGCAACGUGCAGAGUUACUCCAGCCGGCGCUUAAUUUUAAUGGUACGAUACCACAGGUACUGUGCAACAUGUGGAACUAAAUAGAACCUUUGUGUUUCGGAAAUGAGUGAUUUUAUAGGAUAGAACAGAUAUACAUUACUUUGCUGGACUAUGAAUUAUGGUUAUAUAUAGUCUGCUUUUGCAUUAUGGACAGGUCUUGAUGGGGCCUGAGUUCAACACCUCUUAUGAAACUCACCCUGUAUGACAUGAAGCUGUAUAAAUGAUGGGAACAGCACUGACAUGCUGGGACGAUACUGCUGAGCUGUGCUCGUUUGAAUCCAAUUAUAAGAAUACCCAGAUGGUUCUGUGUAACAAACCAUCUGGUGUCAGGUUGUCUUCAAUGGAUGCUUUAUAGUUGGUUUAGACUAAGUUAUUGGAAUAGUAAUAUAACCGACCGUUAAACAAAAAUAAAACCAAAAGUAUAAUCAAAGCUCAAAUAAACUCAAUUGAAUAGGUUCCUUUUUUUGAUUUUUGUAUUGCUUUGAAGUGGCUUAUCGGCAGCCAUGUUGCAAGCAAUACUGCCUCCGAGAUUCUUUCAAGCAAUCAAGAGCUAUACCACUAGGACCAGGUUUCAGAGGAGU